This 484-nucleotide ribosomal RNA is filed under the name uncultured bacterium. Its description in RNAcentral is "partial 16S ribosomal RNA". It matches the Rfam family "Bacterial small subunit ribosomal RNA", at positions 29 to 507 of the family's 1533-position model. The record is from RNAcentral.
AGUGAACGCUGGCGGCAGGCCUAACACAUGCAAGUCGAGCGGCAGCGCGGGGGCAACCCUGGCGGCGAGCGGCGGACGGGUGAGGAAUUCGUCGGAAUCUGCCUUUUUGUGGGGGAUAACGUAGGGAAACUUACGCUAAUACCGCAUACGUCCUACGGGAGAAAGUGGGGGACCGCAAGGCCUCACGCAGAAAGAUGAGCCGACGACCGAUUAGCUAGUUGGUGGGGUAAAGGCCCACCAAGGCGACGAUCGGUAGCUGGUCUGAGAGGAUGAUCAGCCACACUGGAACUGAGACACGGCCCAGACUCCUACGGGAGGCAGCAGUGGGGAAUAUUGGACAAUGGGCGCAAGCCUGAUCCAGCCAUGCCGCGUGUGUGAAGAAGGCCUCCGGGUUGUAAAGCACUUUUGUCCGGAAAGAAAUCCCUGGAGCUAAUACCUUCGGGGGAUGACGGUACCGGAAGAAUAAGCACCGGCUAACUUCGUG